RNAcentral lists this ribosomal RNA (119 nucleotides) under Salmo salar (Atlantic salmon). Lineage: Eukaryota; Metazoa; Chordata; Actinopteri; Salmoniformes; Salmonidae. The record is from RNAcentral.
GCUUACGGCCAUAUCAGCCUGGGUACGCCCGAUCUCGUCUGAUCUCGGAAGCUAAGCAGGGUCUGGCCUGGUUAGUACUUGGAUGGGAGACCGCCUGGGAAUACCAGGUGCUGUAAGCA